GAUGAACGCUGGCGGCGUGCCUAAUACAUGCAAGUCGAGCGAACAGACGAGGAGCUUGCUCCUCUGACGUUAGCGGCGGACGGGUGAGUAACACGUGGAUAACCUACCUAUAAGACUGGGAUAACUUCGGGAAACCGGAGCUAAUACCGGAUAAUAUAUUGAACCGCAUGGUUCAAUAGUGAAAGACGGUUUUGCUGUCACUUAUAGAUGGUUCCGCGCCGCAUUAGCUAGUUGGUAAGGUAACGGCUUACCAAGGCAACGAUGCGUAGCCGACCUGAGAGGGUGAUCGGCCACACUGGAACUGAGAAAAGGUCCAGACUCCUACGGGAGGCAGCAGUAGGGAAUCUUCCGCAAUGGGCGAAAGCCUGACGGAGCAACGCCGCGUGAGUGAUGAAGGUCUUCGGAUCGUAAAACUCUGUUAUGAGGGAAGAACAAAUGUGUAAGUAACUAUGCACGUCUUGACGGUACCUAAUCAGAAAGCCACGGCUAACUACGUG
Molecule: ribosomal RNA, 497 nt
Filed under: uncultured bacterium
Lineage: Bacteria
Description: partial 16S ribosomal RNA
Rfam family: Bacterial small subunit ribosomal RNA
Source: RNAcentral